UACGUAGGGGGCAAGCGUUAUCCGGAUUUACUGGGUGUAAAGGGUGCGUAGACGGAGAAGCAAGUUAGUUGUGAAAUCCCUCGGCUUAACUGAGGAACUGCAACUAAAACUACUUCCCUUGAGUACUGGAGAGGAAAGUGGAAUUCCUAGUGUAGCGGUGAAAUGCGUAGAUAUUAGGAGGAACACCAGUGGCGAAGGCGACUUUCUGGACAGUAACUGACGUUGAGGCACGAAAGUGUGGGGAGCAAACAGG
Molecule: ribosomal RNA, 253 nt
Filed under: uncultured bacterium
Lineage: Bacteria
Description: partial 16S ribosomal RNA
Rfam family: Bacterial small subunit ribosomal RNA
Source: RNAcentral